Molecule: ribosomal RNA, 448 nt
Filed under: uncultured organism
Description: partial 16S ribosomal RNA
Rfam family: Bacterial small subunit ribosomal RNA
Source: RNAcentral
ACUCCUGCGGGAGGCAGCAGUGGGGAAUAUUGGACAAUGGGCGCAAGCCUGAUCCAGCCAUGCCGCGUGAGUGAUGAAGGCCCUAGGGUUGUAAAGCUCUUUCACCGGAGAAGAUAAUGACGGUAUCCGGAGAAGAAGCCCCGGCUAACUUCGUGCCAGCAGCCGCGGUAAUACGAAGGGGGCUAGCGUUGUUCGGAAUUACUGGGCGUAAAGCGCACGUAGGCGGAUCGAUCAGUCAGGGGUGAAAUCCCAGGGCUCAACCCUGGAACUGCCUUUGAUACUGUCGAUCUGGAGUAUGGAAGAGGUGAGUGGAAUUCCGAGUGUAGAGGUGAAAUUCGUAGAUAUUCGGAGGAACACCAGUGGCGAAGGCGGCUCACUGGUCCAUUACUGACGCUGAGGUGCGAAAGCGUGGGGAGCAAACAGGAUUAGAAACCCCGGUAGUCCCAUG